GCAAGGGCAAGAAGGAAGUCGUCCCUUUUUCUCUUCUUCCUGCUCUGCUCUGAAGCUGCCAUGUGAUCCCGGCGAGAGAAGACGCCAGCAGCUAGCGUCCGAUAAGAUAAUUCUUUAUGGUUGAUACUUAAGACUGAGCUAGCAAGUAAGAAAUCCUACUCAGUUGGCCAAGCAGCAUUUGUACCUAAUGGCCUCCUGGGAUGGUGUCCUGCUGGGCACAGGGCUGUUUCCAGUUGGUGGUAAGAAAGGAUCUCAGAGCUUUAUCUGUGUUCCAACUGCUGUCCCUAUCUGCUACUGACCCAAGGAGAGCCAUCCAUUCACCCAGCAGUCCAGCCACCAGUGCCCUAUGCUGAUGGUAAGAGCAGGGAGCACUAGAAAUGAAUGCGAGCAGAAUGCAACUGGAGAUGGCUUUAAAUAAUGCAGAGCCAUUUUCUCUGUUGCACCCGGAGAGCUGAGGUCUACAUGCAAGGGAGAAGAAGCAUGGUCCUCAGGCAGUGGAUCUGCUAGUGCUCUGGUGAGACACAUGAAUCCCCUCUAAUGCUAUGGAUGACAGCCAUGAUGGGAUGUGGCAAUUGACAACAUCCCAGAGUAGGCAUCUGGGUGAUGAAGCUUAAGGUCAUCUGAAGAAUCCUGGCCCUCUUGCCUCUAGUCACGGUGGCUGGAGGGAGUAGCUAUUAGCUCCGCAGUCUGUGUAUACCCAGCUGUAUCAAGCACUACUCUGAUCCAGGACUUCGCAAAGUCAACAGGUCUACUGGACAACAUGAACAACACCCUCCAUUCCAACUUUCACAUCUGAAAGAGGUGGAAAGGAACUGAGGGCUGAGCAGCCGGAACCCGCCUCUGUAUGUUUGCCAUCAGGGUCUGAGGCAGAGUUCUGUGGAGGAGCUCUGUAUUCCCUUUCUGCCCCACUCUCCUCCAAUGCCUCACUGGGUCAAGCCAAGGAAUUUUAGGUGGGAGAGCCACACAGCACAGGUAUCUGCAGAAAGGUAGGGGCUGGUCCAGGUAUCUCUUUCUAGAACUCCACCCAGAGAGCUACUCUCAGACAAGACUCCAUGUGGAUGGCACAGAAGGUCCUGGGUGGGCCAGGAUUCCCAAAAAGACAGAGCGAGGUGCCAACAAGACUCAGACCUCAGCACAACAGUCAUUUGGUUGUCAGAAAUUAAAAGAAAAAUACAAUCCAGUGGCCCUAUUUCUUUAAGGCAAUGUCUUGCUGUGACAGUUAGGCUAGCCCUGAACUUGAAAUCCUCCUGUAUUCCAGGAUGACCACAUCUGUUUUCCACAGCCCUUAAAGAUUCUACUGAAGAAAGAAUAGGGCCAAGAGCAUUAGAGGCAGAAUGGAUAGGAGAGAGGGGUAAAGGCUGAAUAAUAGAUACCAAAUUACACUUAGAUUGUAGGGAAGAGGUCUAGUUUCUAUGGCAUGGCAGGGUGAGGACAGACAGGCCACAUCAACUUGCUACACAUUUAUAGGAAUAAACAGUGGGAAUAUAAAUGCUUCAAUGGAGAGGUGUGAUGAGUGCCAUGGAUGUGCUGAGGGCCUGGAUCCUGCAGUCACACUCUGCACUCCAUCCACGAGGAAAUAACUAUGAGUUGCUUUGGAAACUCUUCACUAAUGUUUCCAAGGCCACAUAGCAAAGGGAGACCAGUUAUUCAGGGAAAUCUAAUGACAAUGUGGAAGGAAGAACGAGAUGUCAGCAUUGCAGAUGGUAGAACCAAGAAGUUGGGAUAUAGUCUUGCCUCAAACCUUGAUCUAGAAGAUAGGGUCUCUUUUCCCCAUGAAGCCUCACAUGAGGCUGUCAUUUAACAGGCCACAAGAUAACAGGACAAGAAUACUGAGGCCUGAUUGUCCUGUUCUCAUUUGUCAGUAGGGUAGAGCUCCCAACAGCAAGGGCAAGCGAGAUCUGACGGCACUAUCCCUUUCUGUACCUGCAGGGCAUCCAGAAUGUGGGAGCAGCUACAGAGAGCCCAUCAGAGGACCCUGGAAGGUUCAGGGACUUAUGCACAACCUCUGACCAAAUGCAAGCUAAACAAAAUUGCUCUGUCCCAGAGUAAACCUAGGGCAACUCAAGGAAGCCAGGUGCAAAGAGUCACUCUUGGUUGCCUGGGAACACCUUUUCAUGAAGGACAACCAGGAGCUGUUAAUCCUGGCAGAAGACAGGGAAUGACCACAAACUCACACACCACGUAGGCAGGAUCUAGGCUAUACUCAAGGGCCCUGUGUUAAAUAGAAAAUGGAAUUGGCUGAGAGUGUAUGCUAUUUGGAGCUGGCAGUAGUCCUGCAAUCCUAGCUACUCAGUGGGCAACUUAUUGGACAAUUUAGUGAGAUCAAUAAAAAGGAAGAAAAUGGGGUUGGGAAUAUAGCUUAGUGUCUGUGAGGUUCUAGGUUCAAUUCCCAGUGCUGAGAAGGAAGGGAAGGAGGGAAAGAGCAGAAAGACCAAGCUUGGCUUGGCUUGGCGUGGGUUACUUGGCACUUUUGGCCUCUGGCCCAUUUUAUCCUGCUAUGCAUCUUCUGAUGUAUGCAGUGCAUGUGAGAUCCAUUUAUUCCACUAGUUACUGAGCACUGUCUGGACACUGCACACUGUUCUAGGCUCUAGGGGUACAACACCGAACAAGAUAAACAGGAUCUUCACCUUGGCCUUCAUGUUCUGGUUAAGAGAAGCAGAUAUUAAACAAGAGAUAUACAUAUAUAUAAUAUAUAAGAUAUAUAGAUAUAUAAGUGAAAUCGAUGUCCAUUAUAUGCUGAUGUGUGGUAGCAAG
RNAcentral lists this long non-coding RNA (2754 nucleotides) under Cricetulus griseus (Chinese hamster). RNAcentral describes it as "lncRNA (ENSCGRG00015004005.2)". Lineage: Eukaryota; Metazoa; Chordata; Mammalia; Rodentia; Cricetidae. The record is from RNAcentral.